GUGUUAGUAAUCAUCAGGGGUAGAGCUCUGAAAAGGUUUGGGGCCGGCAACGGUACCCACCCUUAACAAACUACGAAUACUGGUUGUGUAAUCACGGCAGUUAGAACGGCGGAGCUAAGUUCGUCGCUCAAAAGGGAAACAGCCCAGACCAUCAUCUAAGGUCCCUAAUUAACGUUCAGUGGGAAACAAGGUGAGAUUUCUUAAACAGCUAGGAUGUUGGCUUAGAAGCAGCCAUUCAUUUAAAGAGUGCGUAACAGCUCACUAGUCAAGAGAUCUUGCGUGGAAAAUGUAACGGGGCUAAACGUAAUACCGAAGACAUGGGUCUAUGCAUUAGCAUGGGCGGUAGAGGAGCGUUCCUAUCGGCAGUGAAGCAGCAUUGUAAAGUGCUGUGGAGCGGUAGGAAGUGAGAAUGCUGGAAUGAGUAACCAUAAGAGAGGUGAGAAUCCUCUCGGCCGUAAGAGCAAGGUUUCCUGAGCCAUGGUAAUCAUCUCAGGGUUAGUCGGGCCUAAGCCGAGGCGCAGAGCGUAGGCGAUGGACAUCAGGUUAAUAUUCC
RNAcentral lists this ribosomal RNA (553 nucleotides) under Porphyromonadaceae bacterium. Its description in RNAcentral is "partial 23S ribosomal RNA". It matches the Rfam family "Bacterial large subunit ribosomal RNA", at positions 884 to 1439 of the family's 2925-position model. Lineage: Bacteria; Pseudomonadati; Bacteroidota; Bacteroidia; Bacteroidales; Porphyromonadaceae. The record is from RNAcentral.